UUUCUUCUCUCUUCUUUUGAUAUUUUUUAAUUAUUUUAUUGGAGGGCUAGGAUGUCACUGGAGGGCACCCAACGGGAGACAAUCCACUCCCGUUAAAAAUGAUUGUAAAUUUUCUGCUCAUUGUUUGGUGAAACCAUUGAACCUUUUUGUCUGCUUUUUGUUAAAAACAAAUUGGGUUGGAGAAGGGGAGUAGACCACAACCGGU
This 205-nucleotide long non-coding RNA is filed under the name Trifolium pratense (red clover). RNAcentral's name for it is "long non-coding RNA (TPRA_LNC005032)". Lineage: Eukaryota; Viridiplantae; Streptophyta; Magnoliopsida; Fabales; Fabaceae. The record is from RNAcentral.